Molecule: ribosomal RNA, 491 nt
Filed under: uncultured bacterium
Lineage: Bacteria
Description: partial 16S ribosomal RNA
Rfam family: Bacterial small subunit ribosomal RNA
Source: RNAcentral
AGUGAACGCUGGCGGUAGGCCUAACACAUGCAAGUCGAACGGCAGCACAGUAAGAGCUUGCUCUUACGGGUGGCGAGUGGCGGACGGGUGAGGAAUACAUCGGAAUCUACUUUUUCGUGGGGGAUAACGUAGGGAAACUUACGCUAAUACCGCAUACGACCUACGGGUGAAAGCAGUGGAUCUUCGGACCUUGCGCGAUUGAAUGAGCCGAUGUCGGAUUAGCUAGUUGGCGGGGUAAAGGCCCACCAAGGCGACGAUCCGUAGCUGGUCUGAGAGGAUGAUCAGCCAAACUGGAACUGAGACACGGUCCAGACUCCUACGGGGGCAGCAGUGGGGAAUAUUGGACAAUGGGCGCAAGCCUGAUCCAGCCAUACCGCGUGGGUGAAGAAGGCCUUCGGGUUGUAAAGCCCUUUUGUUGGGAAAGAAAAGCAGCAGGUUAAUACCCCGCUGUUCUGACGGUACCCAAAGAAUAAGCACCGGCUAACUUCGUG